Quercus robur (English oak) is the source of this 1434-nucleotide long non-coding RNA. RefSeq lists it as uncharacterized. The record is from RefSeq and is a predicted model, not a curated record. The transcript is spliced from 2 exons. NCBI's taxonomy places the organism in Eukaryota, Viridiplantae, Streptophyta, Magnoliopsida, Fagales, Fagaceae.
AAAAAGGGGGUGCGAUUUUUCUUCUCUAGCCUUCCACGUAUCCCACCCCAAUAGUCCACAUCUCUUAUCUUCUUUUGUGCCCCAAACGUCUUUUCCUUAUCUCAUCUUCUUGGCUACACUAGACAGAAAGUCCAGCCCUCUUUCUCUACUCCUUUUUCUUUGUUUUUGUUUUUCUUCUCUCUUUGCUCUUACACAGCAGCACCUACAACUUUGAAGCUGAAAUUUUAGUGUUAACCUUUUAAUAAGAAAUUAAAAGGUUAACACUAAAAUUUCAGCUUCAAAGUUGUGGGUAAAUUAAAGGGUUAACACUAAAAUUUCAACUUCAAAGUUGUGGGUGGCAAGAACAAGAACACAAACACUUGAGCUCCUCUUGUACAAUCUCUCGCGCCUUCUGUUUUCAGCUUUUGAUAAGUAUAAAGAUUAUUUCGAAAAUUAUUAUGCAUUAAAAAAAUUUUAUUAGAGAUAUUACAUGUAAGCAUGAUUUAAGUAAAAUAUAUGUUCGUGAGUCAAUCUUAUAUAUAUGAUAAUUUUAGCAUAUUAAUGCUAGUACCUAUAUCACGAACAUAAUAUUUUAGAAUGAAGUGGAUAUGCUAUUAUUAUGAAAUAAUUAUGUAAAAGCAUAGUUAUCAGAAAGCUUGAGGAGAUGUGCCCUUAGGCCUUUCAAAGAGGACAAUAUUAUGCACACAAGGUCACCCAAAUGUGAUGAGGUCUUCUCUGCACAGACUUAUCAGAUAUGGAUUAAUCAAUAUGUUAUGAACAGCUAUAUUAUGUUAUUGAUCAUGAGAGAAUGAUUUUGUUUAAGUGCAUUAUGAAAAGUUAAAAGCUUUCAUGAAAAGAAGAAGUAUGAUGAAGCACUUUAUAAUCUUUUUUUUUUUAAGAUAAAGUUACUGAAUUAUGUUUAUGUUCCUUAUUAUGUCCUUUUAUUAUUAUAUGGAAGGAAAAUGAAGUAUUUUCAUCUAAAGGCUCGUAAGUUAUCCUAAGGAUCAUAUGAACAGUAUGAAGGCUAUUUUAUCGAAACAGGCAUAUCUAUAAAAUAUUUGAUUUACAUGCAUUCUUAUUAAAGGCCCAUGGAGCUUUAAAACCUUCCUAGGCUUCGCAGCUCACCAUAUUAUAUUUCAGUGCACAGGUUCUUUCUGGAAGCAGCAAGAGUAUUAGAAGUGACAAGGAUUCUGUGUUUUCUCGUUUGUUAGAAUGUAGAGUUUUGUUAACUCUUUUGUUGUAUAGAAGGAAUCAAGAUGUACUUGAUUCUUUAAGCACAGAUGUAAUUCGAUACCUUUGUUUGUUUUGAACUGCAGUUGUAUGUCUUUGGGGUUAAGUUUGUAAUAAGAGUUUUGCUAAACAUUUAGCUAUGUAAUAUUUACACGUAUACCUUAAGUUUCAGCCAGGUGGUAAUUUUCCAAGUUCAAAGGAAAUCAAAUUUCAAGGUUUCCAUCA